RNAcentral lists this ribosomal RNA (870 nucleotides) under Bacillus sp. (in: firmicutes). RNAcentral describes it as "bacterial SSU rRNA". It matches the Rfam family "Bacterial small subunit ribosomal RNA", at positions 60 to 912 of the family's 1533-position model. The record is from RNAcentral. Lineage: Bacteria; Bacillati; Bacillota; Bacilli; Caryophanales; Bacillaceae.
AGCCGGAAUGGGAUUAAAAGCUUGCUCUUAUGAAGUAGCGGCGGACGGCCGAGUAACACGUGGGUAACCUGCCCAUAAGACUGGGAUAACUCCGGGAAACCGGGGCUAAUACCGGAUAACAUUUUGAACCGCAUGGUUCGAAAUUGAAAGGCGGCUUCGGCUGUCACUUAUGGAUGGACCCGCGUCGCAUUAGCUAGUUGGUGAGGUAACGGCUCACCAAGGCAACGAUGCGUAGCCGACCUGAGAGGGUGAUCGGCCACACUGGGACUGAGACACGGCCCAUACUCCUACGGGAGGCAGCAGUAGGGAAUCUUCCGCAAUGGACGAAAGUCUGACGGAGCAACGCCGCGUGAGUGAUGAAGGCUUUCGGGUCGUAAAACUCUGUUGUUAGGGAAGAACAAGUGCUAGUUGAAUAAGCUGGCACCUUGACGGUACCUAACCAGAAAGCCACGGCUAACUACGUGCCAGCAGCCGCGGUAAUACGUAGGUGGCAAGCGUUAUCCGGAAUUAUUGGGCGUAAAGCGCGCGCAGGUGGUUUCUUAAGUCUGAUGUGAAAGCCCACGGCUCAACCGUGGAGGGUCAUUGGAAACUGGGAGACUUGAGUGCAGAAGAGGAAAGUGGAAUUCCAUGUGUAGCGGUGAAAUGCGUAGAGAUAUGGAGGAACACCAGUGGCGAAGGCGACUUUCUGGUCUGUAACUGACACUGAGGCGCGAUAGCGUGGGGAGCAAACAGGAUUAGAUACCCUGGUAGUCCACGCCGUAUACGAUGAGUGCUACGUGUUAGACGGUUUCCGCCUUUAGUGCUGAACUUAACGCAUUACGCACUCCGUACUGGGGAUACGGCCCUCAAAGCUGAAACUCGAAGGAAUUG